This 682-nucleotide ribosomal RNA is filed under the name Tachytrechus tessellatus. RNAcentral's name for it is "SSU rRNA". It matches the Rfam family "Eukaryotic small subunit ribosomal RNA", at positions 539 to 1153 of the family's 1831-position model. Lineage: Eukaryota; Metazoa; Arthropoda; Insecta; Diptera; Dolichopodidae. The record is from RNAcentral.
GACCUAUUGGAGGGCAAGUCUGGUGCCAGCAGCCGCGGUAAUUCCAGCUCCAGUAGCGUAUAUUAAAGUUGUUGCGGUUAAAACGUUCGUAGUUGAACUUGUGCUUCAUACGGAUGGUACACCACCAAAAAUUUGGUAUGUACUUUAUCUUUAAGUAUGUAAGCGUAUUACCGGUGGAGUUCUUAUAUAUUAUGUAAAUUUAUUUUAUAUAAUAUAUUCCUCCUAUAUAAACCUGAUUCAAUGCUCUUUACCGAGUGUUGUUUUGGGCCGGUACAAUUACUUUGAACAAAUUAGAGUGCUUAAAGCAGGCUCUUAAUGCCUGAAUAUUCUGUGCAUGGAAUAAUGGAAUAAGACCUCUGUUCUAAUUUCAUUGGUUUUUAGAUCAAGAGGUAAUGAUUAAUAGAAGCAGUUGGGGGCAUUAGUAUUACGACGCGAGAGGUGAAAUUCUUGGACCGUCGUAAGACUAACUUAAGCGAAAGCAUUUGCCAAAGAUGUUUUCAUUAAUCAAGAACGAAAGUUAGAGGUUCGAAGGCGAUCAGAUACCGCCCUAGUUCUAACCAUAAACGAUGCCAGCCAGCAAUUGGGUGUAGCUACUAUUAUGGCUCUCUCAGUCGCUUCCCGGGAAACCAAAGCUUUUGGGCUCCGGGGGAAGUAUGGUUGCAAAGCUGAAACUUAAAGGAAU